Molecule: long non-coding RNA, 1353 nt
Filed under: Homo sapiens (human)
Lineage: Eukaryota; Metazoa; Chordata; Mammalia; Primates; Hominidae
Description: HSALNT0300848
Source: RNAcentral
GUGGGGCAUGCUGGGACUUGUAGUUUCCCUCUGGGGGGGUCGCCUGAUUGGUUGUGAGAGUUCAGCGCCCUGGGUCCUGCGCCCUCCGUGGAAGCUCCUCCCAGCCUAAUGAUGGAGGCUGGGCAACCAGCACAGUGUUCAGGGUGCUGGGGUUCAUACGUAUUGAAAUCCCAGAGUAGUGGCGGACUUCCCCAUGGGAAUGUCUGAUGAGUACUUUGAAUCACAGAUCUCUGUACAGGCCCUGUUACAAAUGCCACUCCUCAGGGCAUUUCGUGUGUUUUCCUUUGAGGGCUCUUGGGACUUGUAAAUUCAGUUCAAUUCACCUUCUGAGGAAUGGGCCCUGACAAGCUGAAGUCUGAGCCAUAAGCUGCGAUGGAACCUAACCUCUGUGCCCCUUCAAUGUGGAACAUGUGGUCAUCAAAGAAGAUGUGGGGCCGGAUCUUCACCAAGAUGGGACUUUUGGGGGCUCCAGCAAGGAAAAGAGCUUCGUCUAUCUCUAGACCCCAGCGUCGAAGGGUCUUCAGCACACGGGCGCCUGAACUGGCUGCACUCCUAGCUGUAACCAGGUAGGUCCUGAUAGGACAAAGUAACCGUUCAUUUUUGGCAUAGAACUUCUUUUGCAGUCUGCCUAAAUCUUCCAGAAAGCCUUUUAGGGGACCCUGUAAAAGGAACAUAUAUCACAGCUGUGAUACAGUGAGCCAAAGAAAGUGAAUGCUAAAAAGCAGAGACCUAUAUGAUACGAUACAAUACAAAGGAUAUAAUACAGCAUGACAUGCAGUGUUAUGAAGCUGAUGGCAAAAUGCUAAAACUUGAUAGGAAUUUAUGUGAAUAUGUUUUCUGAUAUAGAACCAUCCUUGCAUUCCUGGAAUGUGCCUAAAAUGACCAUAUUAUUUAACAUGUAAACCUAUAUACUUUAGGUAUGAAAGAAUGUUCAAUAAAUACUUAAGCCAGGACAACAGACAUAAACUAUCCAUGGUAAGCUGGAAUAGAGGGUCACUCUAAAUAAACUCUAAUUAGUUACCAAAGCACUACUCUUUUAAUUUGCUUUUUGUGAAUUGUGCAUUUUAACUUUAUGAAGUAUAUGCUUUUGUCUAGUUUAAUGCUGUUUGGCUUGAAUCUAACUGUGUCUUUCAUUUUUAACCUUUCCAAACACUUGGUUUUAGUAUCUCUUGUACAGAGCCUAGAAUUGGAUUUUGCUAUGUGAUACAACCUGAAAAUCUUAUUUUUUAAAACAAUAGUUAAGUUUUUGUUCAUUUACAUUUAUUCAUAUUACAAACAUACUUGAGAUUGUUUCUGUCUUAUGGUUUUUAUUGCAUUUUCCAUGUUUUAAAAUUUUUAAAGGAUUGUUCAAUA